This 253-nucleotide ribosomal RNA is filed under the name uncultured bacterium. RNAcentral's name for it is "partial 16S ribosomal RNA". It matches the Rfam family "Bacterial small subunit ribosomal RNA", at positions 524 to 776 of the family's 1533-position model. The record is from RNAcentral.
UACAGAGGGUGCAAGCGUUAAUCGGAAUUACUGGGCGUAAAGCGUGCGCAGGCGGUUUUGUAAGUCUGUCGUGAAAGCCCCGGGCUCAACCUGGGAAUUGCGAUGGAGACUGCAAGGCUAGAAUCUGGCAGAGGGGGGUAGAAUUCCACGUGUAGCAGUGAAAUGCGUAGAGAUGUGGAGGAACACCGAUGGCGAAGGCAGCCCCCUGGGUCAAGAUUGACGCUCAUGCACGAAAGCGUGGGGAGCAAACAGG